GUGACCACAGUGUUUAACGGCCGCGGUAUCCUGACCGUGCGAAGGUAGCGUAAUCACUUGUCUUUUAAAUGAAGACCUGUAUGAAUGGCAUCACGAAGGUUCAACUGUCUCCUUCCCCCAGUCAAUGAAAUUGAUCUGCCCGUGCAGAAGCGGACAUAAAAACAUAAGACGAGAAGACCCUGUGGAGCUUUAGGCCAAGGAUCAAACAUGUAAAACAGACUCAAACCCUAAAAAGAAUAAUAAAAGUCCAAAAACCAAGAGUAAUCUGAUCCUAAUGCCUUCGGUUGGGGCGACCGCGGGGGAAAAUAAAGCCCCCACAUGGAAUGGAACUACUUCCUAAACCAAGAGUUACAACUCUAAGUAACAGAAUUUCUGACCACCUAUGACCCAGGACAAACAUAAACCUGAUCAAUGAACCAAGUUACCCCAGGGAUAACAGCGCAAUCCUUUCCCAGAGUCCAUAUCGACGAAAGGGUUUACGACCUCGAUGUUGGAUCAGGACAUCCUAAUGGUGCAGCCGCUAUUAAGGGUUCGUUUGUUCAACGAUUAAUAGUCCUACGUGAUCU
Molecule: ribosomal RNA, 566 nt
Filed under: Congriscus sp. SC-2015
Lineage: Eukaryota; Metazoa; Chordata; Actinopteri; Anguilliformes; Congridae
Description: partial 16S ribosomal RNA
Rfam family: Bacterial large subunit ribosomal RNA
Source: RNAcentral